CCUACGGGAGGCAGCAGUGAGGAAUAUUGGUCAAUGGACGAGAGCCUGAACCAGCCAAGUAGCGUGAAGGAUGACUGCCCUAUGGGUUGUAAACUUCUUUUAUAUGGGAAUAAAAUGUUCCACGUGUGGGAUUUUGUAUGUACCAUAUGAAUAAGGAUCGGCUAACUCCGUGCCAGCAGCCGCGGUAAUACGGAGGAUCCGAGCGUUAUCCGGAUUUAUUGGGUUUAAAGGGAGCGUAGGUGGAUUGUUAAGUCAGUUGUGAAAGUUUGCGGCUCAACCGUAGAAUUGCAGUUGAAACUGGCAGUCUUGAGUACAGUAGAGGUGGGCGGAAUUCGUGGUGUAGCGGUGAAAUGCUUAGAUAUCACGAAGAACUCCGAUUGCGAAGGCAGCUCACUGGACUGCAACUGACACUGAGGCUCGAAAGUGUGGGUAUCAAACAGGAUUAGAUACCCCAGUAGUC
This 460-nucleotide ribosomal RNA is filed under the name uncultured bacterium. Its description in RNAcentral is "partial 16S ribosomal RNA". It matches the Rfam family "Bacterial small subunit ribosomal RNA", at positions 338 to 795 of the family's 1533-position model. The record is from RNAcentral.